RNAcentral lists this transfer RNA (73 nucleotides) under Candidatus Chisholmbacteria bacterium RIFCSPHIGHO2_01_FULL_48_12. Its description in RNAcentral is "tRNA-Thr". It matches the Rfam family "tRNA". Rfam says of the family: Transfer RNA (tRNA) molecules are approximately 80 nucleotides in length. Their secondary structure includes four short double-helical elements and three loops (D, anti-codon, and T loops). The record is from RNAcentral. Lineage: Bacteria; Candidatus Chisholmiibacteriota.
GCCGGGGUAGCUCAUUUGGUAGAGCGGCGUUAUCGUAAACCGUAGGUCGUGGGUUCGACUCCCACCUCCGGCU